Molecule: ribosomal RNA, 118 nt
Filed under: Pteropus alecto (black flying fox)
Lineage: Eukaryota; Metazoa; Chordata; Mammalia; Chiroptera; Pteropodidae
Source: RNAcentral
GUCCACGGCCAUGCCACCCUAAGCAAGCCCGAUCCCAUGUGAUCUCGAAGCUAAGCAGGGUCGGGCCUGGUUAGUACUUGGAUGGGAGACCAUGUAGGAAGACCAGGUGCUAUAGGCA